AGCAGCCGCGGUAAUUCCAGCUCCAAUAGCGUAUAUUAAAGUUGUUGCAGUUAAAAAGCUCGUAGUUGAAUUUCGAGAUCGGCUUACUGGUCGUGCUUUUGUACGUACUGGUAAAUCGGUUUCUCCUUUCUGACGAACUUUAAUGCCAUUAAUUUGGUGUUUUAGGGAAUCAGGACUGUUACUUUGAAAAAAUUUAGAGUGUUUAAAGCAGGCUCACGCUUGAAUACAUUAGCAUGGAAUAACGGAAUAGGACGUUUGAUUUUAUUUUGUUGGUUUCUAGGAUCGACGUAAUGAUUAAUAGGGAUAGUUGGGGGCAUUAGUAUUCAAUUGUCAGAGGUGAAAUUCUUGGAUUUAUUGAAGACUAACUACUGCGAAAGCAUUUGCCAAGGAUGUUUUCAUUAAUCAAGAACGAAAGUUAGGGGAUCGAAGACGAUCAGAUACCGUCGUAGUCUUAACCAUAAACUAUGCCGACUAGGGAUCGGAUGAUGUUAAUUUUUUAAUGACUCAUUCGGCGCCUUAC
RNAcentral lists this ribosomal RNA (520 nucleotides) under uncultured Glomus. RNAcentral describes it as "SSU rRNA". It matches the Rfam family "Eukaryotic small subunit ribosomal RNA", at positions 569 to 1091 of the family's 1831-position model. Lineage: Eukaryota; Fungi; Glomeromycota; Glomeromycetes; Glomerales; Glomeraceae. The record is from RNAcentral.